Molecule: long non-coding RNA, 1180 nt
Filed under: Heterocephalus glaber (naked mole-rat)
Lineage: Eukaryota; Metazoa; Chordata; Mammalia; Rodentia; Bathyergidae
Description: lncRNA (ENSHGLG00100049214.1)
Source: RNAcentral
GCUAAACUGGAGAUGGCGCAUGACAAGAACUGCCCCAAAUGUCACUCCUCUUUUGGAAAUCAUGAUGCCGCGCUUUUUUCCCCUCUUUCCUUAAAGGCUGUAGCUAUAAUAAGCCAAAUGUUCCAUGCUGGUGGAGUAAACACGCAUGUUUAAGGGGCAUCUGUGUUAGCAGAGGGCACUCGCGCACAGAGGUGUGUUACCUAGUGUAUUUAUGGAGCAAACCUCAGGACUUGGCGCUGUGGGAACUACCGAGUCAAAGUGCUGUGACAGCUUCACAGAAGCAAUGCAUUCCCAGUGGCUCUGCUCCUUCAUUCACCUAGACCUCAGACCAAGCAGUGCCCCGAGAUGCAAGUCCAGGGCCUUGUGAAGGCACCCUCAGAAUUAUCCACUUCUGGCCCAGCUACAGUAAGGCACUGAAGUAAGGGCCAGGAAAUCUUCAUAUGUUCUUGGACCUGGUAUGGCCUCUCAGGUAACCCAGUUAAUGUCUGUGUCUCCCAAUGAUUAAAAAAAAAAAAAAAAGGAAAGGAAAAGAGAAAAGAUGUUCCUGCCUCAAAAGGGUUAAGAAAUCAGACUGGGUGAUCUCUGGGACAGGGUUCUGAAUUUUCAUGCAACAACCACAAGCAACAGAGCACUGUAUGUGCCAUAAGUUAUCAUCAAGUAACUGACACUAACAUGGACUGGUCUUUAUUAUCUGGAAGAGGGUAACAGCAAAUUGCUGGGAAACACUGGAGAGAAGGGCUCCCCCUGCUGUCCUCCCGGAAGAUGGGCUGACUAGAGGCCACAGUUUUGGGCAUCCACCGGGUGCAGAAGAUUUGGGCCGUUGGGGUCAAUGCCAGAGAAUUUGUCAAGUUCAUCACCUUGAGAUAUGUGUAAUUUUAUUGGAAGUGAAAUAAAAGUAUAGCUGACAAAUAAAAGAUGAUUAUUUCUCUUAAAACACUUCAGAUUGAGGUACAGAAAAGUCAGCCUACUUUCAACCACCUAAAUGGUCUACCUCAGUCCAUUUAUGACCAUAAGAACAAGGAUGGUAUUUGUGUGGCCCACUUCGGGAGCUGGGAAUCUGUUUGAAUAUAUUGCUUUUUUUUGUUUUUUGUUUUUUUUGAGAUAGGGCUUGAGCUGUCUCAAAGGUUGGCCUUGGACUUGGGAUCCUUCUGCCUCAGCCUCCCUAGCAUUGGGAUUACAG